Molecule: long non-coding RNA, 199 nt
Filed under: Elaeis guineensis (African oil palm)
Lineage: Eukaryota; Viridiplantae; Streptophyta; Magnoliopsida; Arecales; Arecaceae
Description: long non-coding RNA (EGUI_LNC077271)
Source: RNAcentral
UCGUUCUCUGCAUAUGAGAAUAUAAUAAUAAAAUGAAAUGUCCGCCUAUGAGCUAGGACAUGGAUGUUUCCUAAUUAAUUACUUUCUUUUACGCACCAGCUUUCCCCUGAGUGGUGGGUUUACAGCAUGUGAUGUUACAGAGAAUCAGAGAUGAUAAAAUAUGAUCCAAUCUGUCAAUCAGACUCAUAUUCAAUAUGCU